Small nucleolar RNA from Gossypium raimondii (Peruvian cotton), 106 nucleotides. It matches the Rfam family "Plant small nucleolar RNA R71". From Rfam's summary of the family: R71 is a member of the C/D box family of snoRNAs containing the C (UGAUGA) and D (CUGA) box motifs. Multiple nearly identical copies of this snoRNA have been identified in Arabidopsis, and it is thought to function as a 2'-O-ribose methylation guide for 18S ribosomal RNA. NCBI's taxonomy places the organism in Eukaryota, Viridiplantae, Streptophyta, Magnoliopsida, Malvales, Malvaceae. The record is from Rfam.
AUCCCAUGAAGAGGGCACUUACGAAGUAAUUCUUUGAAUCUCUCCCAUGCCUCAUACAAAGAUUCGUCAUCCAAUUGUUGAAAAGUGGUUAUCUCAUUUUGCAACU